CGCGGCCUAUCAGCUUGUUGGUGGGGUAACGGCUCACCAAGGCGACGACGGGUAGCUGGUCUGAGAGGAUGGUCAGCCGGACUGGGACUGAGACACGGCCCAGACUCCUACGGGGGGCAGCAAUUAGGAAUCUUGCGCAAUGGGCGAAAGCCUGACGCAGCGACGCCGCGUGACCGAUGAAGUCCUUCGGGAUGUAAAGGUCUUUUGCGGGGGAAGAAGGAUGUGACGGUACCCCGCGAAUAAGCCCCGGCUAACUACGUGCCAGCAGCCGCGGUAAUACGUAGGGGGCGAGCGUUGUCCGAAUUUACUGGGCGUAAAGCGCGCGUAGGCGGGUUCUUAAGUCGGGGGUGAAAUCCCGAGGCUCAACCUCGGAACUGCCUCCGAAACUGGGAGCCUAGAGGCGCGGAGAGGGAAGUGGAAUUCCUGGUGUAGCGGUGAAAUGCGUAGAUAUCAGGAGGAACACCCGUGGCGAAGGCGGCUUCCUGGCCGUGUCCUGACGCUGAGGUGCGAAAGCUAGGGGAGCGAACGGGAUUAGAUACCCCGGUAGUCCUAGCCGUAAACGAUGGAUACUAGGUGUUAGUGGUAUCGACCCCACUAGUGCCGUAGCUAACGCAUUAAGUACCCCGCCUGGGGAGUACGG
Molecule: ribosomal RNA, 640 nt
Filed under: uncultured Actinomycetes bacterium
Lineage: Bacteria; Bacillati; Actinomycetota; Actinomycetes
Description: bacterial SSU rRNA
Rfam family: Bacterial small subunit ribosomal RNA
Source: RNAcentral